This 776-nucleotide ribosomal RNA is filed under the name uncultured Neocallimastigales. RNAcentral describes it as "partial large subunit ribosomal RNA". It matches the Rfam family "Eukaryotic large subunit ribosomal RNA", at positions 22 to 647 of the family's 3401-position model. Lineage: Eukaryota; Fungi; Neocallimastigomycota; Neocallimastigomycetes; Neocallimastigales. The record is from RNAcentral.
UAGAUGCGAGAGUAGAGCAUAUCAAUAAGCGGAGGAAAAGAAACUAACAAGGAUUCCCCUAGUAACGGCGAGUGAAGCGGGAAGAGCUCAAAUUUGAAAUCUUCAAGGGUUUCCCUUGACGAAUUGUAGUUUAAAGAAGUGUUUUCUGUUAGAGAGGUGGUAAAAGUUCUUUGGAAUAGGACAUCAUAGAGGGUGAGAAUCCCGUAUUUGAUCACUUUCUACUAACGUUGUGAUACACUUUCAAAGAGUCGGAUUGUUUGGGAAUGCAGUCCAAAAUGGGUGGUAAAUUUCAUCUAAAGCUAAAUAUUGGCGAGAGACCGAUAGCGAACAAGUACCGUGAGGGAAAGAUGAAAAGAACUUUGAAAAGAGAGUUAAACAGUACGUGAAAUUGUCAAAAGGGAAGCGUUUGACACCAGUGUUGUUUUUCCGAAAAUCAAUUACGAAUGUUUUGUUUUUGAGGAGUUAUGACUUCAUCGGCUUGCUCCCUUUCUUUAUGAAACUUUCUUAAUGCACUUUUCGGUUAACAAGUCAACAUCAAUUUCUUUUGUUGUAAAAGGGUAUGAGGAAGGUGGCUUUCUUUUCGGAGAAAGUGUUUAUAGCCUUGUGCCUCUGCAAUCGGAGAGAUUGAGGUCUGCAGCGUAGAUCCUUCGGGGUUAGAUACAUUUGUGCUAAGUUAUAGCUUUUCAUAGACAACUUGUUGACUAUGUUUAGUCUUGUAGCUUACUCGCUUACGCUAUUUUACCUACGCUUAGGAUGUUGACGAGACUGUCGAUCUC